ACGGAAGGCAGCAGUGGGGAAUAUUGGGCAAUGGGCGAAAGCCUGACCCAGCAACGCCGCGUGAAGGAAGAAGGCCUUCGGGUUGUAAACUUCUUUUACCAGGGACGAAGGACGUGACGGUACCUGGAGAAAAAGCAACGGCUAACUACGUGCCAGCAGCCGCGGUAAUACGUAGGUUGCAAGCGUUGUCCGGAUUUACUGGGUGUAAAGGGCGUGUAGCCGGGUCGGUAAGUCAGAUGUGAAAUCCACGGGCUUAACUCGUGAACUGCAUUUGAAACUGCUGAUCUUGAGUAUCGGAGAGGCAAUCGGAAUUCCUAGUGUAGCGGUGAAAUGCGUAGAUAUUAGGAGGAACACCAGUGGCGAAGGCGGAUUGCUGGACGACAACUGACGGUGAGGCGCGAAAGCGUGGGGAGCAAACAGGAUUAGAUACCCUGGUA
This is a ribosomal RNA of 437 nucleotides. It matches the Rfam family "Bacterial small subunit ribosomal RNA", at positions 341 to 792 of the family's 1533-position model.